This 559-nucleotide long non-coding RNA is filed under the name Phoenix dactylifera (date palm). RNAcentral's name for it is "long non-coding RNA (PDAC_LNC004754)". Lineage: Eukaryota; Viridiplantae; Streptophyta; Magnoliopsida; Arecales; Arecaceae. The record is from RNAcentral.
ACCGGUAACCAAGUACGUGAAAGCACAGAGAGCAUCUGAAAUAUAUCAUGUCGUACACCAGCCACCAACCUCCUCAAUGAUUAGACUAAAGAAUGCCGAUUUUAUGCAUUCAUUUUUUGAUAUAGGCCAUGCUACUGAAGGGUAAAGAUUAUAUCUACACUCCAAAAAGGUGUAGCUGGAUAGGGAUUUUUUAAGAAAAAAAUUAAAUUCAGGCAAGGGGCAAGGGUUCAGUUUCGAAGGAUGUGGGUCUUCACUACCUUUCUCGGAAGUCUGGAAUCCAACCUAGCUAGAUAGCGGAUGGGAUGGGUAUAUAACAGAAGACAGGAAAUGCCAAAAUGGACAAGAUCUGUGUCGUGCUUAACUCUGUCUCGCCUGGCUGAUCUGGUUGAUGGAAAAAGUUUUUAGCGAUGGAAUAUAUCCCAACCUAAUUUGCUAAUAUAUAGGUUAGAGCUGACCAGGAAGGAAGCCAAGUUGGGUGAUAGUUGUAAGCCUUCUUUCUAUACAAAAUCGGUAUGCAUUUUGCCAUCCUUGGGGCAUCUCGGCAUGUCCGAUACCUGAA